ACAAGGCUUCAUUAAAGAACUUGGAAUGUUGGCAAUGUCAGCAGACAUUCUGAAGUGGAAGGAGGGGAUGUCAUACAGUCACACCCUGAGACAAGAAACUAUCAGCAACUGGUGAUUUCAGAGAGAUGGGGAGUUAGCCUGUCCCAGGAAUGAACCCUCCUGAUUGAUUACUAAUACAAUGUGGUUAGCCCUGAAAUAUUCUUUGUUAUUUUGUAUUUGAUAAACAUGUUUUUAAAGGUACUAUAUUAAAAUAUCCAGACUAUGUAGAUACUUAAUCUUGGAAGCAACAAACAGACAUUUUUUCCUAAAGCAUAUACUUUGGGCAAAUGGGAAUCAAUGAGAAUAGCCAGCAGACCAUUAACUCUAUAAAGCUGUCUUUUACUGUACUCUCACGGCACACACGAUACAGGCUAUUUUCGAUUACACGUGAUUGAACCUCAUAUUUGAGAUGUGCCAAAUUGUUCUGAUGUAAUAGAAACAUCAUGACAGUUAUUUAGUAGAACCAAACAUGCGAAUUCCGUUAUUAGCAGACAGGUUUCUCUUUCUGUCUUGGGCAAUAAUCACCACUACUGCGAGACAGAAAUUGUUUGGACCGUGGUCCUGCAGGAAAAUAUCCUUGUUACUGGACCGUAACACACUUGAGGUUCUUCCAAGCUGGGAUAGCUUUUCCAGUUCUGCGUGCACAGAAAUGCUCAUAUUUUCCCCUAAAGAGAUUUAUUUACAAAUUAUAAGGCGGGUUUCUUUGUCUAACAUGUCUAAUGUAUUUAAAUAUUUUAUAUCUGACUUCCAACCUGAGAACUGCAACCUUUUCCUGGAGUUCUUCUUGGAAGCAUUUCGCGUUUCUGUUUUAUGGAAAUCACACCAUGGAUGAGCUACUUCUCCCUUGAAGCACCAAUAAGCCAUUUUCCUCCCAGUGUCUGUAACUCUUGCCUUCUAAUUUAUUUUUGCCUAGUGUUUUCACUGAUCUCUACUUCAAAUAUACUGAAGACUUAAAAUUCAUAUCAUCUCAACCUGUUUUCUGACCUCUUAAUCAGUUUAGUUCUAUCAGUCAGGCCUUGGCAAUAUUUCAGCUACUUGCUGUGUGUCCUCUUUCCUCUUUCCAUAACUAAUCUCCCUCAGCAUCAUUCGCAACUACAUGAACCAUUUUUUUUCUCAUCUGGUUCUUCUCAGGCUUACCCUUGCCUCUCCGAUCCAACUGACAACCAAAUUGAUACCCCAGCACAAUGUUCUCCAGCUACUCUCAUUUAUUCCUUCCCAGGUAACCAUGAAUUGCUUACACCGACAGUCAGAGCAUCCCAAGCAGAAGCCAGCUCCAUAUCAAGCAUUAUGCUGAUACUUCUCCACAUGCACACUACCUCUCAGCUGCUGAAAUACUCGUGUGUUUUCCAUAACAGCAAUAGUGUGGGCUUUUCCCUCUUUUGCAUCCCAGAUUUUUGUACUGUUGAAUUUGUAUUCUGGUUAUUUCUCCUGUUACCAAAGCCAUCCUUUGCUAUAUUAAAAACUCAUAAUUAUUUUGGAUGCCUCACUGUGCUCACAGAAGAGAUCCUUAAUAAAAUUAAUUGAAGGGCAUGUUUGAUUCAAGACAAGAAUGGUGUAUUUCCCAAACUGGCAACUUAGAGUUUAGAGUGUUUGCCGGACAUUCUUUUUGAGUCUAAAGUAUAGCAAUAUUUUGUUUGUAAAUAUACCUAUAACAAAACUCUCAAAACAUUUUUAAAUAUAAAUCUUACUGUAGUAACCUUUGGGUAUUCAUGUUAAAGUUAACUAAUUUUUGAAAGAUACUUACUAGCACAAGGAUGUACUCUUGCUGAAAGAAAGAUCGAGUCAUGGCAUAGGACACUAGAUUUCCUAUAUUUGCAACUGUAGAUAUGACUAAUAGUGAUGGGGAUUCUGUUCUAUGUUUUAGGCAGUGGCACAAGAGUAAUGUCUUUCCAAAAUACAACUUCAAGAGGAAGCUGGCUUCAAAAGUAACAAAUGAGAGGUUAAACUAAUACUCCGUGUUUUGAGACCAAGUUUACAGAGAUAGACUGUGAGUUGACAAUGUUUUUGAACAGUUACAUGCACACAUGCACACACUUAAUACUUUAUCUGAAAAAGAACACCCAAUGAAACAAGGGAACAAACAAACAACAGCAACAAUAACAAAAAAUACCCAGCAUCUCUUUCUGACUUCUCAGAGGAGAGCGAGUUCAGGGCUGUGAGAAAAAUGAGAAAUUUUGACAUUACAACUAUUAUCUAAAAGGCGAAAGCCCAUUCCCAGUUUUGACUUGACCUACGGUGGUCAUGUCUUACAGUGAUCAUCAUUCUUAUGGCUUUCUGGAUGUUUCAGGACUACCGUGAUGGAAGAUGCUAAGGAGAAGGGUAGGAGCGUGGCAAAUGAUGGAAGAGAAGUGAAGACAAGGACAAACUUGACCUAGUUCAGGACAUGUGUUUGAUCUAAUGAUCUACGCGUCCAUUUUUAAAAUCUGUCCAACCAACAAGAUUAUCUGAAUCUUUGUUUUAUCUAAGAAGGUCGACAUGAAACUCCGAGAUAGUAAAUGCAAGUGCGGCUCGUGGGCGUCAGGCUGGCAACAUCACACCCUAAACAGAAUCACUAAUUUUUAGGAAAUUCUGAAUCCACUCAGUUUUGAAGAGUACUCAGUACAUUAUGUUAAUCAAGUAAACUGAAAAGGAGGUACAUGGGAAGGUUUGGGGAGUAAAUAGAAGAAGGAAAUGACCUACCUAUAUUACAGUUUUAAAAAUUUAAAGUAAAGCAGAAUAACUGAUGGAAUAUCUCUUCAACGACAUUGCUUUCUAAAAUGAUAGAAAGCCCUUCUUUCACAUUUAAAGCAGUUUUUCUGCUACAGCUUUUGUUGUUUGGGAUAAAUAAUUUGCACAAUGCUUACUUCAAAGUGUAGAGGAGCAAAUAGUCACCGAAGUCUUUAACAAACACUUGGCAUUAUUUUUUUCCCUUGCUGUCACCAGUUUGUGUGUGUGCUGAUUAGCAAUGUAAUUCAAGCAGCUAUGAAAUAAAGGCAUAGUACAUGCUGGUCACACACAAUUGAGAACAUAAGGUUCUAUUCAAACAACACAAGUUUCAUAAUGAAAAUUACUGAUAGUGUGUGUCUGUGUGUGUGUGUCUGUGUGUGUGUGUGUGUGUGUGUGUGUGUGCGUGCGCACCACUUCUCUCAAAUAUAUUCAUGAAAAGAUUUGAUAUGCUGUGUCAAUAUACAAGCCAGGACAAGAACCACAGCACUCAAAAUGUAGAAAUGUUCCCUAUUUUGUGUACUUCCAUUCCUAGAGAAGGUUCUAAAACCAAUCACCCAGCCACCAUAAGCCACAUAUGCCCCCAUGAAAUGACUCAAGGAUGAAGGAAAGUCAGGGUGCUCCAGACUCUCCUUAAUGACAAAUUCUAGAAAGAAACAAGACUUACGUGAAUAUCCAGGUCUCUGACUCUUAGCCCCAAAGCUAUAUCUAACUGCAAUGAUGUCUUCACUUUACUUUUUAAAAUUACUUUUUUUUUACAGUACAGCUCUUGUCCCCAUCCAGACACCCCCCCCCCACAGUUCCUCAUCCCAUUUCUCCUCCCCUGUCUCCAAGAGGAUGCCCCCCUCCAGGACUCUCCAUUUCCUGGUGCCUCAUAUUAGGAGGGUUAAGUGAGUCUCCCACUGAAGCCAAACCAGUGGUUGAAUUAGGGAAAGACUGGAAGAAGCUGAGGAAGAGGUCAUUCCCAUGGAAGACCAGUAGUCUCAGCUCCGACCCUGAGAUCUCUCAGACACUGAGCCACCAAGCAGGCAGCAUGUAUGAGCUGGUCCGAGGGCCCAAGGCAUAUAUGACUUCACUUUUUUUUGAGGCUUAAAAAUAUUAAAACCCUUAAACAGCACAAACAAGAGCUAAAAUACAUAUUUUACCGAAUUUAUUUUACAUGCUAUAAAAUUGUGGUAAGAAUAAAGUUACUUUUCUAACACGGAUAUUAAAGCAAUAGUUUUAAAAGUUCUGUUCUGAGCCACUGCAGACUGUGGGACUCUGUUAUAUUACUUCUUGUUUAGGAAAUGAGUCUCCACUUCUGUUGGGCAUUGCAACUAGCAUUGUGCACUCAGAUUCCAUAUGUUGACUGGAUGUGGCGACUUCUAGCAUUCUGUGUUGUCCUGAGGAUCUGUGAUAUACAGAGUGAUGAAGCAUUUAGGAAAAUGUAGUGAUUCAUGUCUAUAAAUCCAUUUUGGAAGUAUGAAGGCUCUGACCAAAUGAACAUAUAUGAUGAAAGUCAACUGAAUCCAGUACACACCACCCCUUCCUUGUCAUUCUUUGUAGAGUCCUGAACAUCUCUCUAUUCAUGUGUAGUAUAUAUUAUAAUAAUUUUAGGCUCAAGUUACUGAAUACCACGCAGACAUAAAACACACUGAUAUUUAUAAUUUUACAUAGCAGGAAGUCUAAAGAUAGGGAAGACUCCAUGAUUGGUUGAUUGAAUGACUAAAAAUAAAAUUUCUGUUUUUCUUCUUUGCUAUCUUCAGCUGUCAAGUGUCUUGAAAACAGAUAUUGGAAAAAGUGAUACCAGCUACAGAAUCUAUGAAAAUCUGUAUCUAAAUAACCCCCAUAAUUUAAUGGCAACUUCUUCUGAAUUAUCUUCACCUUUUGUUUCUCUCUCCAAACCCAAUAUGUAAUAGGAUUUGGGGGAAAGAUAUUUAAUAUUACUUCUUGGAUUUUUUUCUAAAUAGGUAAAGUUUAAAUAGUUAUUGCAUUUCACACUGGUAAAUGAAGAGAGAACUUGGAAAUCACAUAAUCUCAUUUUGCUCUUCAUGAGACCCUUGUGUUGCCAUACCUAAAACUGAUUUGCUAACUCCUACUUCCUAGGGAUACUAAAUGUAACAUGCGAUAUUCUGAUGAGAAAUAAUAAAAUCCAUUUUCUUGUUUGUGAUGUUGUAACAAUUUCAAAAGAAUUUUACAGUCUCUUAAUAAAAACGUGUAAACACAUUUAUUCAUCUUUGUUUUUAUAUAUCGGUUACAAAGUGCUAUGUAACAUCAGAGACAUCAUAGCAAUUUGGCAAUAAUAUAAUGCCAUCUUUGUAAAUUUAUUUGACUAGGUUUCUUUUCCUUCUUUAUUUCUUUUUGCUCUUAGGCUAGUGGCUGCAAUGGUAGAUAAAACAUUGGUUUUUGUAUGAGAGGAAUUUAUUCCAUGUGCCAAGAACACGCAGUCUUUGUUCAGCAUAAUAUAGGUCUCUUUGCCCCCCACCUUGGCUUUCUAAAUUUAUUACCCGAUGAGGUUCCUAUUGAGCCUUCCCAGUGCUGGGUUAUAUUUUUUUCACACUGGGAACAUGGCUGUAUUCCACUGAACAGAAUUUGUAGUAGGAAAGCCUUCCUAAAUAAAAUCGUACAAACCCAAACCUAACACUAAACACCAAAAGAUACAAGUUUUCUUUGAUUUAGACUUUACUGUUUGAAAACGUACAAAGCUAUAAAGCCAGCUAAGCUACAUUUCUUUGCUGUCAACGUGAAAUAUACAGAUGCAGCUAUCUCAUCAUUAUUAUUUUAAACGUGGGGAUAAAUGUGUGUUUCUGUCAUUUUGCAUGAUUUUAGAGGAUGCAUUAUUUGAUAUUAAAACAAUUUAUACCACGUAUCUAAAGUUUUACAAUGCUAGCUAUAUAUGACUACUUUAAAACACAUCACUUAAUUUGGAUUAAUUUAUCCAGAAAAAAAGCAACAAAAUUUUUGCUAUGACGAGCACAAAACAUUAUUAGACUAAGACAGUGUGGGUGACAGACAUUAGGUAGAAAUUGAAUGUGGUUUUAAAUAUUUCUAUACUAUUGCAUAAAUUGUCAUAUAGCACUCAUUAGUAUAUCAUCACUAGCUAAAAUCAUUAUCCUGCUAUUUCAGAAUUGCCCAGUUGUUUUCUACAAUUUGAUUCAUUCCUCCAGCUUGUUUUGUUUACUUUGACACCAUUCGCUUGCUACUGCAUUUCCCCACAGCUGCCUAGUUAAUUGCAAUGGGAAAAAAAUGGGGCCAGACCAUAGAACAAUAAAAUAUUCCCAUUUACUUGAAUUUUAGAGAAAGCACAGGGAUUCAGAUAGAAAGAAAUUAAAAAGUAUGAGCACCGGGCAUAAAAGGCAGAAAUUAGCAACCGACAGAUUGGGAAUGUAUAAAUGGCACUUGCCAAAUAAUUAGAAAUGAGAACCAAUCUUUGUUUUGUCUUCGGCCCCUAAACUACGUAGCCAUAAAAGCUCUUUUAAUCUGUGCUGUAAGUGUUUUCAAAGAUAGGGCUUUCAGGAUAGUGGUGUGAACUUCCUUUUAAACCUUCUCUGUCUUCUUCAGAUCGGCACUCACUGUGUUAGGGAGAACUGUGCGGGUGCAGUCAGAUUCUGAAGGCAGUUCUUAGCAGAGCUUUAGCUCUACCGGGCACGUACUCUAAUGGCCAGAGGGAAAUGUUUUACUGCUACGUUAUCUCACGUCAUUUCAUGUCUUCCAUUUGACAAGGAUCUAAGUAAUUUUAGCCUUCAAAAAUUAUAAACAUGUAUGAAAUUGUCAGAGAAUGAAACCAACCAGGAAAAGUUAGUCUUUUCCACCUUUAUUUUUAUAGGACUGUAUGCACAUGUGUCUUUUUCUCCAUCCGUCCAUUUGUACAUCUGUCUGUAACUUUUCAUAUGGUUCCGAAAGUACAAAUAAUACUAUCAAACCUCCAAAAUCAUUGCUAGCAGGUAUUACUAGAUGUAAAAUACUCCUUCUAAGUGAAAAUGAGGUAUGUUAUUUCAGAAUGUAGGUGAAAAUCAUUCAUAUCCGUUUCAUCAUCAUCUAAGUUCAGGAAGGAAUAACAGUGUUAAUAAAUUAAAUAAGUUAAGUAAGAGUAACCAUGCGUUGGAAUUUCAGGUUCAAGAAUCCAUGGUGAUGGAUUACAUUAUCCCCUAAUUCAUUUUAGAAAAAUGAAGUAGAUGUUUCAGAAUGGCCAAAAAUAGCUUGGGUAUCUAAAACACAUCUUCAACAAUUCCUCUUUGUUUUGUGCUGUAGCGAUAGCUUGCACAUGCCUACAAUAUAAAUUAUCUGAUGGUUUUGACAUAAAAUCAUCUGUGUGGUUUGACGUUAGAAGUAAAAAGGAGAAAGCUACAUACUUCCAUAGUUUGCUAAGCAAUGGUGACCAACCUUCCAAAAUGAAAAGAAAUGAAACCCUUAACUUUGAACUUAUGAAUGAGCCAUUUCCUUGAACUCAAUGGAGUAGAGCCCACACGGAGCAGGUGAAGAGUGUCUGUAGGUAAAUGCAAAUAACACUCAGUGGAAGGACAACCCACCAUGGGAGCUUGCCUUUGGCGUUGACCAAAGGACAUAGAAACAUAUUUCAAUAUCUGCAUUAAUGCGGUGUGGUAUUAUGAAAUAAUUUAAUACUUAGAGUAUAAUGCCAGACAAUUUUUAUGAUUGUGCUCUAGCUAAAUGAAAGGAUGCACCUGAUGCGUGUAUAAGCGUGUAUGUUGUAUGAACAAUGGAGCUUUGUACCUGAGUCCUUGAAUAUCUGCCACAGUGAAGAAUUGAUAUUUUACUAAGGAACACGACAUUUUCUUUGCAGAAAAGUGUGAUUCUGUAUGCCAAUUUGCAUAUUCCCCAUCCCUCUCAUUAGAGGAUCAUUUCAUUUUAGAGUUUUCGUUUUCGUUUUUUAACCAAUGCCCCUUUCCUCUUGUUCCUCAUGAUAAUGGGCUAAAAAAAUUCUGUAUUCUUUUUUGUCAUAGGUGUAGUCCAUAUCCUCUUUAUCUCUCCUGUAAAUUACCUAACUGUAAGGUUUCUAAUUGGUCCCCUUUGCUUUUAUCUUGACUUCACAAGCCAUCUGUUGCUCUAGUUAUCUUUCCCAGUGUAAGGCUCAAAUCACAGAACUUCCCAAUUCAAAAUGACCGCUCGCUGUACCCUGUUCCCCAAAACAAAACAUCCAUAUAGUCAUCAAACACUGACUGACUUUACUUGGUCCUGAUGCUUGCUUUCCAGAAUUUGUCUGUGGAAGACUAUCAAAGCUCAUUUGUUAAUGAUUUUUUUUUUAGCUUGCAGUUGGAUUUUCUUUUGUCUCAUACAAUACUUGUAUGGUAAAUAUGUAUCCGUAUCAGAAAACCGUUCUUCAAUGUCAAGUGUAGCCCUUGCCCAACAUUCUCUGCUGUUUAAAACACUCAUUGUGUCACUGUCACUACAAAAGGCUGAUUAACAUAGGUGAUGUAGACAAACGAGCCCCAGGAUUGGUUGGGACUUCCCUAUGAUUAGAAGAUGUUUGUAGCUGGUGAGCCUAAGCAUGCAGUGUUUGAUUUAGUUUUCAUGUGACCAACUAGGCCUCUGUGGCAAGCUCUGCAGGAUUUUAUUCUUAAAGUGUUCUUCUUUAAAUUAGCUCACUUCAUUUGACCUUCAGGUAAUCUAGUCCGAGUGUUUUGUUGUUGUUGUUGGUUUGUUUGUUUGUUUUUGGUUUUUUUCAGAUUCACACAUCUUUCAGUCAGUGAGCACUUAUGAGAUAAUUCCUCAACCCAGUUUCAAUUUUGCAAAUUUUCUUUCAGUUGUGCUUGAGUUAACACCGGUUAUUCUGCUCUAUUUUUAACUCAAUAUUUCAAAGCUGUCAGACUUUUAGUAUUCUUAAUGACCUUCAACUUACUACUAAGCUUAGCCUGCCACCUCUUCUCUCUUCUUAGCGCUCAGUGUGCCAAGCUCUGGGUUCCAUGCUGCCAGCCCACAGCACUAUUGCCUGAAAUCUCCUUCUGCUGCCCUUGAUUUAAAGUGGGAAUUCUUAUCUUGUCUCCAUUGGUUUGUCCCACUUCCUCCUAUUUUAAAUAUUAUUUUACCUUGUUUAUCUCUCUCUUGACUGUACACUAAAGUUUAGCUUAUGCCCGCCAAUGAUACAGAGAUGUUUCCACAUGUUAUCUCAUAGCAAGAAACAGAAGGGCACUAUCAUUAGUGUUUACGUUGGAAGGUAACAUUAGGCCUUUGCCCACAAAAUCUCAUUUCUAAUUUUUCCAAAGCUAUUAGUGAUAAAUAAGAAAAUAUUGUUGCAAAAUGAAAUACUAACAAUAUCAAUUCUAUUAAUUUUAAGUUAUAAUAAUAUACUAAUGAUUUUAUUUAUAAAAUCUACUACUAAUAAAACACAGAUAAUACACCAGUGGCAUUGAAAAAAAGUUUCUUGUAAAAACUAAAUAACAUUAUAAUUCAGUAUCAUAAUUAAUAUAAGCCAAGUACCAUGAUACUAAAAAAUAGGUAGAAGGCAAAAACAGAAAGUCAUCUAUCUACAUGUUAGUUAUGACUUUAGUAAUAAUGUCAAAAAGAUUUAUUGCAGCGAGUCUAUGACAUUACUUCAUAUCUACCAAAAGAACCAACACAGUUCAUGAGUAUUCUUGAUGUUUGUCUAUAUUAGUUGUGUUUACACUAUGCAUAAUGUGCUAGAUGUUAUUAUACAUGUCUCCUCCAGCUACUCUUGAGAUUAGAAAUAGUAAGCAAAGUAUCUCUGCACUUCUUUCUAGCUGAAAUCAUAGCAUUGUGGAGUUCUUACAGAUAAACAUUGAUGUCAUUAUCUUAACAUAAUACAAAAACAUGAAGCAAAUAGAAAUGUACAAUUUAUAUAAUUAUAGCACUAAUGUGUUUUUAUGGAUUAAAUAAAGAUGUCUGAUGUUUGAAUGUCUUAAGAAAAUGUGAGUAGUGAACAAGUUUGGCCAUGAUGUGUGUGUGUACGAUACAUUGGUUUCACUGGAGACACUGUUGUCUGGCUCAUUAGUGGAGCCUUGAACUGUAAAUUGGGAUGUUAUGAUGCUUGCAAGCCAAGGGAAAACCAUGUGUCUCACCUUCCCAUCCCAGACACUCCCAGCUGUGUUUUUGUUUCACAUUGAUCACAGAAGAGACGAAGAAUGCAGAAGUUGAUUAAAGGCAAAUUUGAAACAAAUUACUUUUAAGAGUGAGGUAAAUGGCAGUCCUAUUGGGAAGCGAUCACACUUUCCAAUACUCCCUAGGAGAGAUAAACUGAUUUAAAUGUCUUUGGUUGUUUUAUAAACAGUACCUACCCAGGACUAUAUAGCAUCUUAAAUUUAAUUUUCUUAGAAAGGUUGAAGGCACAGGUAUGCAUGUGUGACUGUACAAUCUCUCCACAUUUAUAUUUUUAUCAAAAUGGUUGUUUAAAGGUCAAUGUAUGCGUAUUUCUCCCUGCUUCUAGGACAAUAGACACAGAGCUUCAUUUGUAGAAAUUCAGAGUGGAAAAGAUUCAGGUUAUCUAAAAUUAGGUUAGACAGUCCUCAGCAAGGAAAUCAAAGCUGUCUUAUAUUUAGUUCUAGUGGGACAUCCCACUGUGCAACGAUAUAACCAUUGUGUGCCCUCCUGGGCCAAAACGAAACAAGAUGAAUUUCACGAAGCACAUUUUUGGGAACAUGUAGGUAGAUAUUUUAUUCAAAGAGGGACAUAACUGAUUUUCCUUCUACCAGAUAGUAUGGAGAUUAUUUCUAAUUUUUAGUUAAAUUUACAAGUCAGGAACUUUUCAACAUAGUCUUAGCCUAUUAGAAAGUUUAAUUUUUGCUACACCUAUAUUAAACAAAUGUUUAUAAAACAAGAGAACACUUAUUUAACAGUGAAUGUUGUGCCUAUCAUUUAUAUACAAACAUUGACUUAUCAUAUGUAAUUCAUAUAACAUUACUCCUUUGCUAAUAAUUUAAUUCUUUUUAUGUUGGAGAAUUCAUGAAAGAACUUCAGAUGAAGAACAAGGACAGUCCUUGGGCAUGCUCAGAGAUGAGUGUUGUCACUUGUGUAAUGGGAGUUUUGUGAUUUUUCUGAAGGAGUCCAAGCCAUAGUCACCACAGUCUUUCCUUUUUAUCCUCCCUUAGGCUACUUCAGCAAAAGAAACAUUCUCUCUUCUUUCUCCUCUCUUUCCAUUCUUAAUUUUCUCUAUUUUUUUAUACUAUAACUUUUUCUUCCAUUUUGUUUAGUCACCCUGUUCAAACACACCCAAAUUCACUUUCUCUCAGGAAUGAUAAUCUAUUGAAAACAAAAAAGGGAAAAAAUGUUCAAUGAAAAAGGAAAGUUUCUCAUUCAUAUUACUGUAUUUAAAUUAGCAUCAGCAUUAUUGACUGACUCUAAUAAAUGAGAUGAAAAAAUAAAUAAAGUGAAUUAGAAAAUGAUAGAUUUUUAAACAAUGUAAUUCCCUGACAGAAGUGGUUAUUUUUCUUUCUAAGAAUGGAGACAAGGUAGCAUUAAUUAUUAAAAUUUCCUUCAUUUUGCCUGGUUAGAAAAUGUGGGAACGGGGUUGGGGAUUUAGCUCAGUGGUAGAGCGCUUGCCUAGGAAGCGCAAGGCCCUGGGUUCGGUCCCCAGCUCCAAAAAAAAAAAAAAAAAAGAACCCCCAAAAAAAAAAGAAAAGAAAAUGUGGGAACUGUGAUUUGUUCUUAUGAUUAUUUGGUAAAGGUUAUCUCAUAUGUGUUAGAACUUUCCAUUUAAAUAUUUGCAGGCCUAAGGAGAUUAAAAACAUGUAAACCAUAAAGUGAAGUGUGCUUGGUUUUCAGGUUUAGCAGCUCUGAUUGUUACAGAUUUCCAUAGCUGUUGUUGUAAAAUAUAAAAAAUUAUAAGUGUAACUUUUACCCCGCUAGGUCCUGCACUGCGGUGGCCCAUGAUAUCCGCUAGAUAUCUUGGCAGAAACACAUCCCAACUCCGCGGCAGUGACCCAGUGUCUCCAGCCACAGCACACUUUCCUACGCUCAAACUGUCACAUAAGUAACACAUAACACAAUAGCCUUUGACCCAAUGACAAGAUAUAAUUGCCCAGCUAAACAUACAAAGCCCAAUACACAUCCAUCCCUUAAAAACAUUUGUAACAACCUGUAAAGGCACAGCAUGGAAUCUUAACAUCACCCGCCAUAUUGUCCUGCCACGGCUUCUCUCCCUCUCCCUCCUGUCUCUUCCUCCUUUCUGUUCCAGUCUCCUCCUCUUCCUUCAAAGUUUUCUCCCACCCAUCCUUCCUUCUCAUCCAAUGACAGGCCUCCUUCUAUCCUGUACCUGCCCUCACCUGUAUUUUACAAAUUAAAUGGGGAGAAGGUUCUGGUGAAAUCACAUGAGUCUUGAGUAAGUGACUAGGCAGCUGUCCUUGAGGCCGCGGAAUUAGCAUCAAAAUACAGAUAACUCCAGGGCAAACCGCAAGAAGUAGUGAUGCAGAACUUUGCUGCCCUGCAAACUGAUUGUGGUUCUGAUGAUAAUUCCAGUUUAUCCAUAUGUCAACCUUGCAUCUAGAAUGCCUUUCCAGCAAGUGUGUGUGGAGAGAGCAGCCUAGUGGACCACUAUCACUAGGGUUUGUCUUUAGUUUCUGUAUAUAAUGAUGUAAAACUAGGAUUAUACCUUAAAAACAGCUCCUAAUGUGAAGGUGUAUUGUGAUCAUCUGCAAUUUUAUACAAUAGACAUGAACUAUUUAUUAUCUAACCCACAGAAAUUUACUAAGGCUUUAUAUGAUUUACAAAUUGAGAUCUAACAUUUCAUUAAUUAUGAGAAGUAAUGUUAUGUUAUUUUACAUCUCAUUAAAGAAAAUGUUGCCAACUGAAACAUAACAAAAUUUUUGGAUAAAUUGAGGUCCAUUUUAUGAAGUAUAAUGAACAUAUACAUUAUAAGGUAAAAUAACUAUGAAAUGACUUGCCAAAUAUUUCUACAUAUGGAUAUUUCAACCUUUCUAAAUGAUGUUUCUUUGUGGAGUCAUUGGUAACUUUUGUAAUUUUUUUCCCCAUUUGUGUUUGUUCCAUCAAAACUAGGAAAGCAACAUUGAGUAUAUGAGAAUCUAUUAUUCACAAAGCAUUCCUCUUAGCCUCUGUUUUACAUCCUGCAAGUUUCUCUGUCUCUCAGCCCAUCCAUACUUUCUGCUUUUCAUUAAAAAAAAGAUACUUUUCUCAUAUAUGAGCUAUAUAUCCUACCGUGGUGGUUUGAAUAGGAAUGGCCCCUGUAGACUCAUGUAUUUGGAUUCUUUAUUAUAUAUAAGUAUACUGUAGCUGACACACCAGAAGAGGGCAUCAGAUCACAUUACAGAUGGUUGUGAGCCACCAUGUGGUUGCUAGGAUUUGAACUCAGACCCUCUAGAAGGGCAAUCAGUGCUCUUAACCACUGAGUCAUCUCUCCAGCCCAUGUAUUUGGAUUCCUGACCCAUAGGGAGUGGCAGUAUUAGAAGGUAUGGCAUUGUUGAAGUAGGUGUCACCUUGUUGUAGGAAAUGUGACUCUGUGUGAUGGACUUUGAAUUCUCCUAUGCUCAAGGUAUGCCCAGUAUGGCUCAUGGUUCCUGGUCGCCUUCUACUGCCUCCAUAUCAAGAUGCAGAACUCUCAACUACUUCUCCUGUACCAUGUCUAUCUGCCAUGAUAAUGGAAAAAUUUCUGUAGCCAGCCCUAAUUAAAUAUUUUCCUUUAUAAGAAUUGCCAUGGUCAUGGUGUCUCUUCUCAGCAAUAAAUCCCUAACUAAGAAUCUAAAUAAUAGUUUCCCACCCUCUAAUUCUCACAGUUUCUCCUCACCUCCACUUCUGUCUGGAUCCACUCCCUUUCUGUCUCGCAUUAGCAAGGAAUUGAUUUUGAGAGACAAGAACCAAUCCAUGACAAAAAAUGUAUAAUAAGAUGAAAAAAAAGCCUAUUGCAUUGAAGUAGGACUUGGCAGCCCAACCAGAGGAAAAGGUGACAGGAUGAGACAAAGAAGGUUCAGACCUAGUCAACCUAAGGUUGGACUAAGCUAAUGGCUGUAAUGCAUGCACAAUUGACCCGGUGAAGACUCAUCAAGGUCUUGUGCUUGCUGCUGCCAUUCCUGUGAACUCACAUGCUCCUUGCUUACUUGGUUUGGAAGGCCUUGUUCUCCUGAUGUCUUCCAUUCCCUCUGACUUUUACAAUCCUUUCACCAGAUCUUCCAAGGGUUCCCUGAGUUGUAAAUGGAGGGAUUUUAUGGAGACCUCCAAUCUAGGCUCAUCUCCACACAAUGUCUAGCUGUGCAUCAGUUCCUCUCUGAAGCCUCUCUGAUGAUGACUGGAUAAGGCAGUGAUCUAUGAGUAUCGCAGAAUAGGAAUAGGAAUAACAGAAUAACUUUAUUGAGCUUUUCUCUAGACUCACAGUGCUUGGUUUUUGGGGUUUUUUGUUUGUUUGUUUUUGUUUUUGUUUUUGUUUUUUACCUUAGGUCUCUUGAAUAUCUUGAACACCUAAUCAGUAUAAGGACUGGGUUCCUUCUCAUGGAAUGAGCCUUACCUCCAGUCAGACAUUUGUUGGUUACUCCCACAAGUUCUGCCCAACCAUUGCUCUAGCAUAUAUUACAGACAAGAGAGAAUGUAGGCAAAGCUUUGUGCCUGGGUUGUUGUCCAUGUUUCUUUUUCAGUAGCCUGUGGAGUAUCUGUCUGCACCAAAGAGAAUAGAAUGUGGGAAGGAAUGCUCCACAUCAACGCCAGCUCAACUUCUCCUUACUUGCAAAUUCUGAUGUUGUCAUUGGAGAUUUUGUAAAAUUGAGCUUUAACCAUUAUACCAAAGCAUAUUUAGAACUUUUAAACCCCAAUUCCAUCAUCAGUGGUAUGAAAUUUCUUUUCCUCAAAAAAUGUUUUUAAUUAAUUACAUAAGUCAUUUUUAUUUCAAAGCAUCUUAUAAAGGGUUAAGUUACAAUACAUCUAGCUUUAUGUAAUAUAUUGUGAUUAUGUAGAAAUUAUCCUCAAUAACCAACAGAUUGGGAAAAGAUCUUCACCAAUCCUACACGGAAUAGAGGGAUAAUAUCCAAAAUAUAUAAAGAACUCAAAAAGUUAGAAUUCAGAGAGCCAAAUAACCCUAUUAAAAAUGGUGUACAGAGCUAAACAAAGAAUCCUCAGCUGAGGAAUAUCGAAUGGCUGAGAAGUACCUAAAGAAAUACUUAACUUCCUUAGUCAUCAGGGAAAUGCAAAUGUAAAAAACCCCGAGAUUCUACUUCACACUAGUCAGAAUUGUUAAGAUCAAAAACUUAGGUGGCAACAGAUGCUGAACAGGAUGUGGAGAAAGAGGAACACUCCUCCAUUGUUGGUGAAUUGCAAAAUGCUACAACCAUUCUGGAAAUUAGUUUAGAGGUUCCUCAGAAAAUUGGACAUUGUACUACCUGAGGACCCAGCUAUACCUCUCCUGGGCAUAUACCCAAAGGAUACUCUAACAUACAACAAAGACACAAGCUCCACUAUGUUCAUAGCAGCCUUAUUUAUAAUAGCCAAAAUCUGGAAAGAACCCAGAUGUCCUUCAACAGAGAAAUGGAUACAGAAAAUGUGAUACAUCUACACAAUGGAGUAUUACUCAGCUAUCAAAAGGAUUGACGUCAUGAAAUUCAUGAGCAAAUGGAUAGAACUAGAAAAUACCAUCCCAAGUGAGGUAACCCAAUCACAAAACACACACACACACACACACACACACACACACACACACACACACACUCACCCAUGGUAUGCACUCACUGAUAAGUGGAUAUUAGCCCAAAAGUUCGAAUUACCCAAGAUAAAAUCCACAGACCACAUGAAACUCAAAGAGAAGGACAACCAAAGUAUGGAUGCUUCAGUCCUUCUUAAAAGGAGGAACAAAAAUAUUCAUAGGAGGGACAUAGAGACAAAGUUUGGGGCCGAGAAGGAAUGGCCAUUCAGAGCGUGCCCCACCUGGGUAUACAGUCCAUUUAUAUACAGCCACAAGAACUAGAUAAGACUGAUAAAGCCAAGAAAUGCAUGCUGAAUGGAGCCUGAUACAGUUGUCUCCUGUGAGGCUCAGCCAGAGCAUGUCAAAUACAGAAGCAAAUGCUAGCAGCAAACCACUGAACCGAGAACAAGGUCCCUAUUGAAGGAAUUAGAGACAUGAUUGAAGGAGCUGAAGGGGCUUGCAACUAUAUAAGAACAACAAUGCCAACCAAUCAGAGCUCCUAGGGACUAAACCACUACCCAAAGACUACACAUGAAUGGACCCAUGGCUCCAGCCUCAUAUGUAGAAGAAAAUGGCCUGGUUGGGCACCAAUGGGAGGAGAAGCCCUUGGUCCUGCCAAGGCUGGAUCCCUCAGUGCAGGGGAAUGUCAGGGGUGUGGGAAGGGGGGAUUGAUUGAGGAGGGAGAACACCCUCAUAAAAGAAAGGGGGGAUGGGAUAGCGGGUUUAUGGCCAUAAAACCAGGAAAGGGAAUAACAUCUGAAAUGUAAAUUAAAAUAUCCAAUUUUUUUUAAAAAAAGAAAUUAUCGUUGAGGUGAACUACCACAUUUUUCUAAAUCAGAAGUCAUAGAGGAAUCAUACAUUAAAAAACCAAAACAAAAAACUGUUACAAAUAUCCUACACAUCUGAAAAUUUCAUUGUUUAAUUUUUUUUGGUAAAUUUAAGCACAUAUAUAUAUAUAGAGAAAGUAGACUCCUACACACUAGUUACCCACAUUCAACAUUUUUCUCAUUUUCCAGCUUUUAAAGUCUGUUUCUUGUUUUUUCUAUUCUGGGAUCAUUUCUCAAGGGACAGUUAUUCUUCAUCUCCCUUCACAAGGCCUUGCAAAUCCUAGGGGAGUGAUGAACUACAGAGCUGUCUCCUCUCUAAGUAGGUUCUUUGGAACAUUUAAAGACAUCACUACACAUUGUAUUAGUUCCCUAAAAGUACAGCACCACACAUUCCUAGGAUAGAAGUACCUUUUAAACAAAAUGCUACCCAAUUACUGUAACGUAAUAGUUUUCAAUACCUAAUUUAUAUUUAUAUUCCCUUGAUUCUUAAGAAUGUUCCAUGAAACUUCCUUUCUUCUGUCUCUUCCUCUCUCCUAUCUCCAUUCCUUCCUCUUUCCCAUGCUACUCUCUUUCCUUCUUUUCUUAUGAAUCAGAAGAAAACCACAGUGGUAACAGCUAUCGAGGGGUAAAUGGGUACUUCAGCAGUUCCCACAACUUCCUGCUUUUGCAGAAGCCUUGGGAUUGGGUCCCAGCGUCAAGAUGAUGGCUCACAUCUGUUACUCAAGCUCAGUGUGAUGAUCGCUGUCCUUCCGUAGCACCGCAUGCAUGCAGUCCACAGACAGGAAAGCAUACACAAUACUCAGAUGCAAUCGUGUAUCAUGUCUCUACAGUAUCCUUUGCCCACUACCUUUUUAAGAGACCAAAUAUUAUGUCUAGCUUUAUUGAACAGAAAAAGCAGGGUAGUCAUUCAGUUGGCUUUAGUCACAAACCUUCCCUUCUAUGAUUGGUGGCGUAACUAGUUGCUGAACCGGUCAGACUCAAUGGUACAUGAGAAGAUGACAAUUUGUUUUUUUCUCAUUAUUGUCCUUUGAAACAAACUCUGUGGGACUAUUUUUCACAGCCCCAAGUUGUACUUGGUCCUUUGAUAAGGUAUUAAUUAAUUGGCUUGUUUUAUUCUUGGUAUUGAGCAGUGUGGUUUAAUCUAAUUUAUGUCUUUAUUUUCUCAUCCUAUUUUAAGGGCUCUUUCCUUUUCCAUGUUCCCCUUAUACUCUGUCUUGGCCUAUUUCAUUCCAAUACUGGGGACCAUACUUGUAUUGUCGUUUGUUUGCUUAGUUUGCAUGAUUUUACACCUUUUUCUCUUACGUUUUGUUCCACCUUUGGAUCUCUAGUGUCAGACCCAGGCUACAUGGUAAUAAGAAGAGAGAGCAUGUUUGAGUGUUCCUGCCACUUGCUCUUCCUCUGAGUAUAGCUCUGUGUCUCAGCGGCAGAUUCUCGAAUGAAUAACGUUGGAUUUCUCAGAGGUUCUUCAACACUGAUAACUUCUUCCUAUUGCUCUCUAACUGGCAAUUUCCAGUUUUCCUCAACUUCUUGUAUUAAGGAACACUCUACUGGAAAAACCAAUGUCACAAUGAUGUCUUUUCAGAAAUCCACCAGGCCAUUAAGAAAAAGCCUACAUUAGUGCUAGAUCCCCCAUCCAUGGGGAGUAUAGGCCUCCCUCAUUGUAGCCUGCUCUCGAUGGUCGGCACUAGAUACCUUACAAAGAAGGUUUCUAGAAGUAUAGCCUCUCUCACCUCUAGAAUACCCCCAAUCAGUUAAAGUUGGAAGAUGAAGUUUUGCUGGGUAUAAGAAGGGAAGGUAGCAACUCUAAGCUGGUUCCUGUACCAAAUUCUCAUAAAUCUAUGUCCUCCUUACAAUCUUAAUAUUGUUUUAAACUUAUCCUGGAUCUGCUAUCUACUGAUCUCUGAAGAAAGGGCUUAUUAAAAUCAAAAUACAAUGUCCAUAGGAUCCUGGUAUAUUAUUUAUCUCAAUAGCUCUGUUUCCUCAACCAAAAGUCCAUUCCAAAUAGCCAGGUAGCAGUCUGACAAGCCACCUUUGAUCAUUCACUGCAAUCUGAUCAAGUCUACAUAUCUGGACUAAAUAAAUAAUAUUCAAAGUACAUACACCAUACCUUGGUAGAGCUUAGAUACAUGUCAUCUUGUGGGCAAUUUACAAGAACUGGAUGGAUGGGGAGAGAGAGAGAGAGAGAGAGAGAGAGAGAGAGAGAGAGAGAGAGAGAGAGAGAGAGAAAGAGAGAGAGAGAGAGGCAGAUAGAAAUGUAGGUAGGUAGGUAGGUAGAUAGAUGUAUUCUUACAUAAAGUAACAUAAUUCUUGCAUUUAUUGAAUUUAAAAUUUAGUAAUGAACAUAUACUAAGUAAAAACACAAUAAAUACUAUAAUAGAAACCCUGUAGAAGUAAGUAUGGUGAAUAACGAAUGCAUAAGAUUUAAAAAAGAAAAGAAUCAGCCAUUGAAAACACUUUUCAAUUUUUUAUAUAUAGCCUCUCUUGCUAAGGAGGCAAUUAUUCAACAAGUAUAUUUAUGUAUGAAGAACACUCAAAGAUUAGUUAGCCAUCAAUCCAUUCAUAGGAAUAGGAGGUAUCAUUUUUCAUAAUUGAAAAUGGGACACCCAAUAUGGUUCUGAAAUUGUAAUAUUCGAUCAUUUGACAUCUUUCCAAAAAACAGUCCUCCAAAAGAAAUCCCAACCUAUGUCAAACAUUCGGUAUCUGAUCCUUUAUGAGAAUUUUAUUCAGAUCCCAAUAGAGAAACAAAAAUAUGAAUUCUGACUUUGACCUUGUUGUGUACUUAUUUGGGCCAAAUUACUGAGGCCUGGUAGUUAUUUCUAUAUAUCCUAUCUUAGUAGAGAUUAGCCUACAGCUGAGAGGACAAAUGGCACAUCCUUCAAAAAAGAAGGAAGAUUUGAGUAGGGAGAACAACUAUAAAAAGUAAGAUCAAGAGCAAAGAAAACUGGCUUACUGCAUGACACAUACUUAAAAUGCAUAUGCUGGCUUAGCAUUCACAAUGUCCCCAUCAUUUGUAAAAGAUUAUUGAAAGAUGUGAUUGUAUUGCAGACAAGGUCAUUGCUUACUUGAUUUUAUUUAAUAAAUGAAAUACUUAAAGGCAUGUCGUGCAACCAUCUGCAAUAGACUUUGCCAACUCAAGGAUGAAUGGUAGCCAUUCUGUGCUCUAAUAUCCUGGAGCCAUAAUGUAUACUUAUGGGAGCUCUCUCUCCUCAGUCUCUGUAAUGUAUCCUUGAUUAGAGACCAUAUAGUUCAUAGCUAAGAUUCAACAAUGAAAAAUAUUAAUGAUUAAUAUCAUUAGUGAAGAUUAAUAUCAUGAGAGAAGAAAUUGGUUUGUCAUGAGAAAAUUAAUUUCUUGAUUUUUCUUGAGUGUAGUUUCCCUCCUUGUGUUGGAGUUUUUCUCUUAUCCUCUGUAGGCGUAGUAUAGUGGAAAGGUAUUGCCUGGAUUUGGUUUUGUCAUGGAAUAUCUUGGUUUCUCCAUCUAUGGUAAUUGGGAGUUUUGCUGGGUAUAGUAACCUGGAUUGGCAUUUGUGUUCUCUUAAGGUCUGCUUGACAUCUGUCAAAGAUCUUCUGGCUUUCAGAGUCCCUGUUGAGAAAUCUGGUAUAAUUAUGAUAGAUCUGAAUUUAUGUGUUACUUGACCUUUUUCCAUUACCACUUUUCAUAUUCUUUCCUUGUUCUGUGCAUUUGUUGUCUUAAUUAUUAUGUGACAAUUUCUUUUCUGGUCCAGUUAUUUGGAGUUCUUGUAUGUUUAUUGGCAUCUCUUUCUUUAGGUUAGGGAAGUUUUCUUCUAUGAUUUUGUUGAAAAUGCUUGCUGGCCAUUAAAUUAAGAAUCUGUACUCUCUUCUAUACCUAUUAUUCUUAGGUUGGUCUUUUCAUUUUGUCCUAAAUUUCCUGGAUGUUUUAAGUUAGGAGCUUUUUGAACUUCAUAUUUUCUUUGACUAUUGUGUCAAUGUCUUCUAUGGUAUCGUCUAUAUGUGAGAUUCUCGCUUCUGUCUCAUAUUCUGUUGGUGGUGCUUGCUUCUGUGACUCCUGGCCUCUUUUCUAGGUUUUCCAUCUCAAGGGAUGUCUCCUUUUGUGAUUUCUUUAUAGCUUCUAUUUCCAUUUUUGAUCUUGGAUGGUUUUGUUCAGUGCCUUCACCUGCUUGAUUGUGUUUUUCUAUAAUUUUAUUGGAUAUUUUAUGUAGUUGCAUUUCGAAUGUUAUCUCCUUUUAUCUCCUUUCCCAUCACCCUUCUCCUGCCUCUAUGAAGAUGUUCCCACUCCCACCCACUCACUCCCACCCACCCACUCCCACCUCAGUGCCCUGGCAUUCCCCUACACUGAGCCAUUGAGCCUUCAAAGGACUAAUAGCUUCUCCUCCUAUUGAUGCCAGACAAUGUUAUUCUCUGACUGGAGCCGUGGGUCCCUCCAUGUGUACUCAUUGGUUGGUGGUUUAAUCCCUGGGAGCUCUGAUGGGGUCUGGAGGUUGAUAUUGUCGUUCUUCCUAUGGGUUUGCAAACCCCUUCAGCUUCUUCAGUCCUUUCUCUAACUCCUCCAUUUGUGUCAUCUUGGUUAGCUGUAUCUUUAGGGCACUGGCAGAGCCUCUCAAGGACCACCCAUAUCUAACAGCCUAUGCUCAGUCUUCUUUAAGGGUUUUUUUGUGUUUCCUGUUUAGGGGCUUCUACCUGGAUUUUCCUGUAAUUCUUUUUUUUUUUUUUGAAGACUUAUUAUUUAUUAUAUACAAGUACACUGAAGCUGUUUUCAGACACACCAGAAAAGGGCAUCUGAUCUCAUUAUAUAAGAUUAUAAGCCACCAUGUGGUUGCUGGGAUUUGAACUCAGGACCUCUGGAAGAGCAGCCAGUGCUCUUAACCGCUGAGCCAUCUCUCUAGCCCUUCCUGUAAUUCUUUAAGGGAGUUAUUUAUGUCCUCUUUAGGAUACUCUUAUCAUUUUCAUGAGACGGGAUUUUAGAUCAGAAUCUUGUUUCUCAGGUAUGGUAGAGUUUCCAGGGCUUGCUGUGGUGAGAGAACUGGGUUAUGAUGUACACAAAUGGCAUGGGUUUCUGUUGCUUAUGUUCUUGCCCUUGCCUCUUAUCAUCUGGUUAUUUCUGGUGUUAACCGGCUUUGCUUUCUGACAAGAACGUGUCCCUCCUGUGAAUCUGGUUACAUUGGAUGUCCUUGGUUCAAGUUGUCCCUAGGUGAGGAAAGAGUUCUAGAGAAUGAUGUGUGAGCCUGGGAGUUCCAGAACUCCUGAGGGUCAAGCUGUCUCUUGGUAUGGGUGGUGGGCUGGAGCACAGGAUUUGCUCCCAGGCUCAGAUAUGAACUAGAAGGAAGGUGUCUCUCCAGCAGGAUUGGAGGUCCUGUAUCUUCUGGGCCCUAGAAUCCCAGUUAGGCCAGGUAUUGGGGCAGGAUGGGGACUCAACUGUGAACUUGAUAGUUUCAGAACUCCUGAGAGUCAAGCAGUCCCUGGGUGUGGGUGGUGAACGGGUGGGGCCAGAGCACAGGAUCUGCUCCUAGAUGCAGUUUCAACCUGGAAGGAAGGUGUGUCUCAAAUAAAGAAAUGGAUUACCAAUGGUCAGAUGGGUGUUAUACACCUGAGCCCAUGUAUUUGAACUGUAAAAGACAAUGGAUUUUGGAAGAUAAUCCAUUUCUUCAUAGAAAAAUACAGCCAAAAAUAUUGGCCAGCAAACAAAUGGGGCCCAACUUGUCUGAGGCCAUGAAGAGGUAUGAAAUAAAGGAGAAGAAAGCUGACCUUACAGAACCACCAUGACAGGAAAAGAAAGUGCGGAGGCUGGGGAGUAAUGUUCUAAGUGCACAUUAGGGGCACAAGGCAUGCGGUUGGAUUGUUUGGUUUCUAGAAAUCUAUUUGGCUGCUAAAGGAAGGUUUGCAUUGCUAGCUCAUCUCUGCCUUUCCUAGUUACUCUGUACCAUGUAAUGCUUUGCCUGAGUUAAAGAGGCCUAGGGUAUCAUCCAAGAACUCUGAUGCACACAAUUUCUUUGCUGGAUUCUUAGAAAUCCUAUCAUUUCUGUACAAGAAGGGUUUAACAUCACACUCAACUGUGAGCAAAAUCACUCCUGUAGUCUAGCUGGCAGAACAGAAAGAAGGUCUCAAUGCCUUGAAAUUUUACUUGUUUGUAAGACAGUGUACAUUAAUUUCUAGGUAGAUUCAAAGAUGCAUGUAACAUCAGAGAUUCCUUUAAAUGACUUUUGUAAAUCUCUUCAUUCUUACCUAAAUUUACUUGCUGGAGGAGUUCAAGUUAAGCAUAUUAAAUUUGUCCUGUAUUCCAAGCUGUGACACGGCCGAUACAACUGGCUGGAUUAUGCUUGGCUUCCAAAUGGUGGCUUCAAAAAUACCCUCUCCCUUAAAAUAUCAGUGUUCUCAUAUCUUUUUAUUAGCGAUUGAUGGAUUCACAGACUACUUCUUCCUUGAAGAAGCAUCUCAUGAACUGAAAACAUAAAUACAGAAGCAAUGGCACAGGAUUCUCAUAAAGAACCAGAAACUUUAAAGGUAAAGCCGUAUAACUACAGAGUUCAGAGUCCUUAGAAUCCUAGAGUUGCUCAUUCCAAAAGGCUUCAUAAAUUACCAAAAUCAUUGUCUUUAAAAUACUAAUGAGGAAUUUGGAAAGAGGUAGGGUUAUGUGUGCUCAUUAUUAAAUGAUUUCCUCAAAGAAUCCCAAACUUGAGUAACAUCUCCUGACUCUCAACUACCUGUCUUUUGCCUUUGAGAUAAAGAGUAGGGAAUGGAACAGUUAUCAAAAGAUUAAUAAUCUGAGAGUAGCUUCAAGGAUUAAAGGGCUUGUGCCUUGAAUAUGAUGCCCUUGAACCACCUCAUGGGAGGCUUGUCCUAACUCUGGUCCUCACACAAAUAGACUAGUAAAACAAAACAGGAAAUAGUGGAAUACAGGCUCUCUUCAGUUGGAACAUGCCUACAGACUUCCCAAUAUGUUUGCCCCUUAUCAUACCCUUCCUUUUCCCUGUUCUCCUCCAUCUCUCCCUCUUUUUCACCUUUCUACGCCCCAGUUUUCUUCCCCUUCCAACUUUUCUUCUCUCUUCCUCUUUUCCUCCCUCUAUCCCUCUACCCAUCUCCUAUCUAUAACUUAAUAUGCAUAGCAUACGCUCUCUCUUACAUACUCCCAAGAAGUUGUUAUAGACAUACAUUUAAGUGAAACAGCUCCUUAUAAACCUUAAAAAUAAUAUUGUACAUCACCUCAGAGUAGUAAUUUUCUCACCAGUAUAUAGUUAAGGAAAAUAUGGUGAUCAAAAUACUGUUUUCUUUUAACUGUUAGUAUUCCAGGAUUUUAGAAAAAUACAGUGUCAGUUUGUAGAAUGAGUAGGCUUUUUGUCAAGUGAUAUUUUACAGAAUGAAAUAAUUAAAAUAUUUACUUGAAAUACUUGAAAGGUAAAUCUUUAUAUGUAUGUUUAAUUUACAUGAUCAUUAUUAAUUCAGCAAUUAUAUAUGAAGAUAUAUAUAUAUUCAAGUUUUUCUUUCAUUCCAAAUAAUAUUUAUACACUGUGCAUUUUCAACAGAAAAGCUAGAAAUGAUUGUAAGAAUGGAAAUCUUCAAUCAUGGUGCUACUGCUCACUUGAGAAAGAGUGACUUUUCCUUUGCUCACUGCUGGCUUAGUUUAAGGGUAGUUUUGUUGGUUUCCUACUGGUUUUGUAACAAAUCACUGCAAAUUUAGUAAUAACACACAUGACAAAUUUAUUAUUUUCCAGUUCUAUAAAUCAAAUGUGAAAAAUAUGUCUUAGAGGUCUAAAAUCAAGGUAUUGGCAGAGCUGUCCUUAGUAAAAAUUCUAGAAGAGCCUGAAUAUCCUUGUCUUCCAGAUUCUAGGGCCAACUAAUUUCCUUGGCUCAUAGUUCUGCCAUCAAAACUAGCAACAUGAAGCCAAGUAUCUUUUACACUGCCAUCUUUUGCUAUUUUGAAUUUCCCCCUUAAUUUUUAAGGUGACUUUUGAUUACGUCAAGCCCACCUGUCAUGUGUAGACUAAGUUUAUCUUAAUAUUCGGUGCAUAAUGACAUUAAUUCUCCUUUACUGUAUAACCUAGCCUGGUUCACAGGUUUGGAGAUGAAGAAAAAAAUAUUCUUUAGGAGCCAUUAAAAGGUAGCUUACAGCAGAGCUGAAGGAACUCAUGGGGAAAGCUGCUACUGUCACUGGCUCCAUGAAAAGCGAAUUUGAGCCAGUGCAUGUCUCCUGAGGGCUCCCUACUGGAGCUCGUUUGAUAAGUUAUGUCCAAUGCAGGUUUCGCCAAGGCAAAGAAGGAGGGCCACAUCUUUCUCGUAGCCUUGCCUCAGGCACGCAUGGCUAGGAGCUAAAUCCCUAUUGAAAGAGAUUAACGUAUUUACUACUAAUUAUGAGUACUAGCUUGUUGGCAUUACUGACCCUAAGUAGACAGCUAUAACCUUUAGAUAAAAACAAAUUUGUACAAACUGAAGUCAUUGCCAGAUUCAAAACAAUAUGCCCAUUAUUUUAGAUGCAUUAAAAUAACAUUUCUCUUUCUGCUGUAUGGAAAACUAGACAAAUAGUUGUUUCUUUUAUUAUUACACGGGGCCAUCUUCCUUCAAGUGUCUAAUGGACUUUGAGCAUAUGCCUCCUUACCCAUGGUCCUUCCCUUCCACUCUUGAGCACUUUCCUCCUGUUUUCUUUUCACCUGUACAUGCAUGAUUUUAUGUGUUUGCAAAGGUCACACCUAGGAAUUAUAGUGGUGAGAGUUUACUCACUGCUGCUGACCUCAUUGCCUUGUGUGAUUAUUUCUUGUUGUAUUUGUCUUCGUGGCUAUGUAAUCAUUCCAUUCUCUGUGCUUGAAAAACCUUCCACUAGGUACACAAGCACAUUUGAUGGAGGAAACUGACAUACUGAGACCAGCCAUGCCAACCGCUAAGCAGGUGUUUCUCUUUCUUGGUGCCUUGUUGCUUAUGCACUUGGAAGUAAACAGCAGCAUCAUGGUACAUGGGCCCAGCAUCCUUGAAAUGAACAUGCAUGUAAGAUAUUGCUGGAUGGCCAUCAAAGCCUCUUGUACAUUCUAAUUUUUCUCUCUCUCUUUCUCUUUAAUUGUCUUUAACCUUGUAAACAAAGCCUAAAUUUAAAAAUAAUUAAAAUUUUGGAGAUUACAGCACCUAUAACUUAUCAUGACCAGGUCUUCUCCUUUAAUAAUGUGUAAAUACAUUAUGAUUGAAAUCAACACUAAAUAUGAUCAAAUUAAAUAUUAUGAGGAAUCAUUAAUACAUCUACAGAAUAUUAAUAGACAUCCCUCUGUACACAAAUGAGCAUUGCUUAGUGCCAGCAAUGCUAACACUACUAAAAGCCAUUGCAUUCACUUCCUUUGAAUAAUAAGCAAAACCUGCUAAAGACCUACACUUUAUUUUAAUUAUGUAUUUGCCACGCUUUCAUAAUUAGGAUUUGGGAUCUAAUCAAAGUCCUUUUGUGUUUGUUUGUUUAGGUCUUUUGUAUGAGUGACUACCUAAUAUAUAUCAAAGGUUUAUAAUAAUUUUCACUUCAGAAUUUUAUUAAACAAUAAAAAACCCUCUUAUUAAAAAUAGGAACUACUAAAUAUAUAGCUAGAUUGCCCAGGGACAUAGAGAAAUGGUAACGUCUCUAAGCAUAAUAUUCCCAUGCUCAGUGGUUAAGAAUGACAACAACACGUUCCCUGGCUGCCCCAGAUUAGCCACAUUGGAAAAGAUCUGUAGAGACAUAGACCCCUUUCUUAACACUUGCAUCAGGAUAUUACCCACUGCAAAAGGGCUUUUAAAACCCUUGUUCAAUUCAUACUGAAAUAAUCCACUUUAUCCAUAUUCUUGAGCUCACGUUUUUAUAGCAGCCAUGGUUUCAAUAACACAUCCAGGCUCAAAAAUGGAGAGUCAUCGUAGCAGUCAAUUUAAUGUAAAGAAAAAAUAAAAUGAAAAAUACUAGAAAAAAAAACAAUUUCAAGCUUAAGUCUCUAAACAGUGUGUACUAACUCUAAGAAUAUUACCUAAUCUUUGGAACCACUAUUAAACUUCCCUCUAUGAUGAAGAAGUGAUUGUUUUAAUUACUACUGCAAGUGCAUCUAAUAUACAGUUAGCUAUGUAAAACUGGUUGUUUCUGUCAGACAUGUCCUAACACAGUUCGCUCUUUCCUAUAGAUUAGAUUACUCUUCAGUGUUUGGAUUUAGAAUACUCACAUCUCACCCAUUUGCCGAAGUGUGCAAAACAUUCAGGAGGAGAAAAGCCCAGCUGUAAAAUCAAGGUUUCCGGACCAGGCUAUUUCUAUUCAUAGCACUGAAAAUGGGACAUGAUACUAGCUAUUGCCGAAAAGCCACUCCAAGAUGUUCACAAAGUUAUACAAAUAUAGACUGAUGUUUUCUCAAUAAGGAGAGAUGAAUUCAAGGACAAGUAUAAGAAAUCUCACAUAAAGCAGAGAAUGCCAACCCUGGAAGAAGAGCUGAUUAUCAUGCCUUUGACAGGAACAGUAGCUAUGAAUCACAGAACCUAUUAACUUGAACUCUCAAACCCUCCUUGUCAAGCUGCCAGCCCAUGAAGAAAUCUUCCUCUAGCAUGGCUUGCAGUUAGGAAUGAAAUAAGUCUCCAUUCUUUUACUGCUGCUGCUGAAGACCAAGCAAACACUCAUCUCAUCGUGUCUCAGUGACGCUAAUUGUCCAAAUGUGUGAGUGAAGGAGGAACCACGUUUGUAAUUCACCAUCUCGUGGAUUGCGUUGAAUACUGUUAUUGAAAUCGUUUUGAAGGCAGCACCUGUGUCCCAUCUUGGGCCUUCACUUUUCAAAAAUUAUGUCUUUAGAGUGGGUAGGGUGGUUCAGUGGACAGCAUGCUUGUUGUGUAAGCAUGAGGGCUGGAGUUUGGAAUUCCGACGCUUGCAUGAAAACCUGGGCAUGUGUAGCAGCCAUGUGUAUUGUCAGCAGUCAGAGAUGGUAACAUUGGUUCCCAGGCAGGCGGACCAGCUAGGCUGAGAAUGAACAAGUUCUAGCUUAAGAAAAAGAUGCUGGCAUAAUGAGUAAAGUGGGAAAAUGAUCUAGAAAGGCAUUCUAAACCAAGCAGGGCCUUUGUAUGUUCAUGCACAUCAACUCAGGUGGAAGUGUGAGCAUAAGGAAACAGACUCAGAGACAGGUGUUUCUACGCCACAAACACAACUAUUUUUUUUUUCAUUUUUGCAUGUGUCUUCUAUGGCUACACUACCUUGCUAUCCUCUGUCAUGCUGCAUGCUGUCUUCUUUAUAACUUGCCCUGUCUUGUUGAAGACAAAUACAGAUAAAGUUCAGUCGUAAAACACAUACCAUCUAUAAAUAAGCGGAAAAUCUUAAAACCUCAGAGCUUGCUCUUUGAUAGAAUUUGGGGGUACCUAAGAUAUUGGAGUUCUUCAUUGUCCUUUCACAGUACUGCAUGGCAUCAGUUACACAGGGGCAGUUUCUUCAGUGGCAAAUGACAAGGAAUCUUCAACUAUGUAGGAUGGGGAUCUGCUUCACAUGAUGGGGAGCUUCAAUUCCAUAAGAGGUUUAUUUUCACUACAUAGGGUGAGGGGACAGCAACCAUGUAGGAGAGGGAACUUGAACUGCAUGGGAGGGAUUCUCAGCUGCCUAGGAUGGGGGAUCUUCAGCUGCGGGAGAGAAAUCUUCAGCGGCAGGGGAAGGGUUCUUCAACUACAGAGGAGGGGGAUGCUCAGCUGCAUAGGAUGGGAAUGGUCAACUACAUAGGAGAGGGAUCCUGAGCAGCAUAGAAUGGGAAUCUUCAGUUACAUGGGAUGGAGGACCUUGAGCUGCACACCGUGAGGGAAUCUUUAACUGCCUAUUAUGGGAGAGCUUCGUCCUCACAGGACUGUCCUCUGCAUUGUAUGGGAGGUCUUGACCCGUUUAAGAUGCGGAGGGAGAAUUUUCAAGUAACACAGUUGUGUUCUGUUAUUCUCAACUGUUCCAAAUUGCAAAGGACCCCCUUUUUGUUGUUGUUGUUAUUAUAGGAGAUGCCUCCUCCACAGCGGAGCCCCCUAGAGGGUAAUGGCACGCAUUUCUUAUCAGUACAAAAGGUAUCGUCAGCUCCCACACGUAUUAGAGCAGUAAAUCAUCAUCGAAGAAAAGGCAUUGUCUUUGACCCGGUUUACCUAAGUGAUUUAUCUGAACUUCACAUUCUAGUGUCUAAAAUUACUCUUGAUAUUGAGUCUGUAUUUUCUUUCUUUCUUUCUUUCUUUCUUUCUUUCUUUCUUUCUUUCUUUUUAUUUUUUUUAAUUUACGUUGGCUCCCAGGGGUCUCACUGAAGUUCAGGGCAUCCAUUGACCUGCAGGUCUAGGUACAUUAGUGAUGCCACUUCAGGUGUUAGAUUGUGGAGUGUGGAAGGAGAUGUGCCAAGAGCCCCAGUGAAAAUGAAAACUUUGGGGUAGAGUUUGAGGCUUUUGUUUUAAAAGCAGAAAUAUUCUUACCAGGGUGGUUGUUGAUAAAGAUUGCUGCUUUUCUUUCUCUUUUUAACUUAUAAACCAUGGAAUCUGUCCACUGCAGUCUGAAUGCUCUGUUCUUUUCUGAGUUUAAGUCAAUUGUGCAUCAUAUGCACAUGUAAGAUUUGUUCCUGUCUUAUCAAGCACUCCUUCAAACUGAAUAGGAUGGCCGUGGGGAAUAGGAAUUUAUGACCCCCAUAUAUAGUUAGUGUCUGACAGGAACUAGAUCCCUCCUUUUCACCCAGAGCCUACCACUUUUCUUCUAGCUUACACCACUUAGCACAGUGAAGAGAAUUCUCUGCAUUUGUGCCCAUGUCUGGCUACAGAAGUAACUGAACCCUCUGAAAAACUGUCUUGGUUACUGUCCCUUGCCCUGAUGGCAUGCUUAUGAGUAUUAUAAUUUUCAUAGGAGGAUGUGCUUUAGAAAUCACCUUGGAAAUAAUGUCACGGAGAUUUAAUCCAGCAGAUUGGGAGAACCAGCAUCCAGAAAAUAGUGUGGAGUCAGAUGGGCUUUGGAUAAGCAGGCAUCUUCAGCUUAUAAGAUAUUUAAAGGAUUGGGAAGACGGAACAAUAUUGGAUCCAGAGCAAGAGAUUGGACGUAACUUAGGUGCUCUAAGAUACAUAGUCAUAUGUGCUUCUCAGAAUGUGAAAUUGUUCCCAAGAAAUAUAUAAAUGUGUGUGAUGAAGACAAGAGGUGGCAUUAUAGUUUCUGAAAAGGAAAAUGUAUUAUUCAUAGAACUGAAAGAGAAUAUUAAAGACAAGUUUAAUGGAAAAAGUCUACAGAACAAGCCCAAAGAAAUGAUACCAGACUGGGAUGAUGGAUAUACCAAAGGCUUUGACUUGAUCAUUACGUAGUGCACACAUGUUUUGCAUUGUCACAUUGUACCCACAAAUAUAUAUAUCACCACUAUACUUCAUUAGAAAUACAAAUAAGUAAGCCUACUCAGUCAGGAUCUUCCUGAUCAACAUUUCCUAUCAAUGAAGAAAAACAAGAUCUUGUAAAUAACCUCUCAUUGGUUGAAAAACCAAGAACAAAACUCAGAAUUGCUAUGUCAGACAUCAAUCCUCCAGCUGCCAGGGUCAUAGAAUGAGGCUGCGAGGCAGGCAGAAAACAGACGGCUAUAAUUAAUUUGUCAGGUAAAUAUUAAUAUUGCCAUCUCUCUAAGCAGGAGGGUUAAGUAGAGAUUUCUCCUUUUUUUUUCUUGGCCCUUAAAAUGGCUCUGCCACUGUCUGGAUGUCAACUGAUGCCAGCGUGCUUCCUGGUUCCACCAUCACUGCUGCAGGUGUCCUCUGUAGGAAUGGGGGGCGGGGGGGGGCGCCAAGGCCUCGGCACUCUUCCUGCCUCACAGGAGCAAUCAUCUCUGUCCCCCUCAGUGUUGACCUACCACCCUGACUCUGCACUCCACUCCUGUUUGAAAACAUCUUCUCUUCAACAUCGUUAAUAGCAAGCAAUUAAAUUGGCUGGAUUAAUGUAAGGUGGCUGGGUGUGUGUCCCGGAAGUAGAACACGAGUGUAGAUUCUAAAAUUUCUAGUUUUGGCAAGCAGAGUGAAGAAUGUGGCCUAGUUUCAAAAUGUUUAUUGGAAGCAAACUCCUAACUAAAUUGAAAACUGUCCUUUCUGGAAAACAUUUAUAAAAUAUUGACUUUGUUUAUUUUUUGCACCUACAGUACAUAUAGUAAUAGCAAUUAAAUAUUUAGCAUGGAACUAGUAGUUUUAGAAAAUAAAAUGAAAUGUUUUCUUUAAAGUAUCAACAUUUCACCUAUAAGUUUCCAUAUCAUCUCUGAAAAAAAAUGUAAUUAGAAAAGGAUCACUGACAUAUCUAUUCAUUAACCAUGAAUAAAACCGCUCCAGAACUACCUUUCCCUUUUGGCGUUUUGAGAUCGCCCCUCACUGUGAAGCUGAGACUGGACUCAAAUCUAUCAUCCUGCCUCGGCCUACUUGGUGAGAUUGCAAGAAUUUGCCACCAAAUCAGAAUGAAAAGCAACUCUAUUAAAAACCAACCUGGGGUUGGGGAUUUAGCUCAGUGGUAGGGCGCUUGCCUAGCAACUGCAAGGCCCUGGGUUUGGUCCCCAGCUCCGGAAAAAAAAAAGCAACCUAUAAAUAAAACCUCUUUAAAAACACCAGAAGAGUGACUGUGGUAUAAAAAUUCCCUUCAGUAAGUAAUGAGUAACAUUUCUUGAUGUUGAGAUCAUUAAAUUCUAUCUGGGUUUCUUCUUCAUUUUUAAACAUGGAAAACAGUAUUGUUUUACUACUUUUACAUCGUAUGACCAUUAAAUCAAGUAUUAAGUCACACACACACACACAAACACACACACACACACACACACACACACACACACGCAUGCAUGCACACACACACCACUUUUAAACCUCACAGGCAUGUAAUGACUGUUUCCUAAAAUUUUUCCAUGCUGCACUCUCCUAAUCCUCAAUUUUCAGUAACAAAAAGUGGGAAAGAUGGGGCAGAUGAUGUCACUGUUUGUUCCUGAUGUUUCUGUAAUCUUGUCUUUAUCUAAAAAGUAGGGGUAUGAACAUUCCUAAUUGUUAGUAAUUAAGGAAUCUUAUCAUUUAUUUCAGGAACUGUGUUUGGAGCUUAAAAGGCCUUGUGUUAUAGUGCUAGUCACAUUUAGCUUCAUCUUGGCUCCUCUAAACAUAGCAGAAACUUUAAAGGUGGACCUAGAAAUCAUCUGGAAGCCACUGGCAGAGCUUGUCUUCCAAGGGCAUCUUGAGACAUCAGACUUUUGUUCUUACUCUUUGCUCUCCUGCCACAUGAUGCUCUACCAUAACCAUCCAACCUGAUGGUUGACCUCAGUAGAAGUCCAGAAGCAGUGGUGCCAAUGAGCCAAGCACUGCAGUGUGUGCCACUGUGUGCUAAAAUAAAUUUUUACCCCUUUUAAGUUGAUUGGCUUAAGUAUUUUGUACAAUAAUAGAAAUCUGGCUAACACUGGUGAUAUACUUAAUAAGAGUUUAAGUCUGUUCUAGCAUAGCAAAAGGUGCUUAGAAUUUUAUAGAAUCCUGUGUCAAAUUUCAGUUGGAUCUUUAUGAACAUGUUAUUUGAAUCCAUGGAGAUUGAAGCAUUUCUAACCUAAGCUUUUCUUAAAAGUUCAAUGCAUUUUAGAGGGCUACUUGAUGAAAUGGAGACAUACCUUAAAUGGAUAUAUCUAGUUAUUUUCAAAGUAUCAAUCUUUUUCAUAAGGAACACUGUUCCCUAUUUUUUUCCUCAUUUCAUUAACUUUUGAGGACUUUCUAUUCAUCCAUCGUUCCUUGUCCAUGUGGACCAGUUAAAAACAUAAUAAAUAUAUUAUUGCUUCUAAAUCUGUCUUAUUACAAAAUCUCAGAAAGUUUGGAGUGGAAUACCAGCAUGGUGAUAAUGCAUACAUUUGUAUUAUUAGCAUUUUAAAGUACUGUAGCCCUACUUGGGUUCUAUCAUUAUGCUGCCUGCUUUAUUCCUAUGGCUAACUGUCGCCCAAGACCAUGUGUCUUAACUUCAAAAGACCAAGGGCCACUGAAUAAAGCAUUAACUUAAUUCAAAGUUAAAAAGCAACACAUGACAAUGUUGUCAACCGUUUUGCUGGAAAAUCACAACUGUAUGUAUCUACAUUCUUUAUUAUUCUUCAAAUUUGGUUACUCUAUACCCUACUGAAAGGAACAACAUAUUUGUCAAGUUAUUCACUGAGUAAAUUUUUCUGUGACAGCACACAGAUAACGGGAAGUCUAGCGAAGCAACAAACUUGAAAACUAGAUGUGCCUGCACUAACCACACCCUUUCUGAAGUGGCAGAAUAACUAAACUGUGUGUGUCUGCACAGUACUUGGUACUGUGUGAGGUUGUGUUCGCACUCAUGAGCAUAUUCAUGUUUGGUAGGGCAGAACACAUUAUACAUACGUACAUAUACACAUAUAUAUAUACAUAUACAUAUAUAUGCAUAUAUAUAUAUUUAUUUGUGAAGAAUGUAUACAAUACUCCACACUUGAAUGCAAUCCAUAUGCUCAGCCUUCAAUCUGGGUAUAUAUGAUUUAAAGUGGCAUGGAUAGUAUGUUAAAUAUAUGCACCACUGAUCCUGUGUACUUCCGUUGCCAAGGACUGGGUGAGCAUUUCCUAUCAUCGAACAUAACCACUGUAAUGCAAGCAGGCAAAUGAAAGGGUUUCAUCUGUAUCCAGACAGUUGCUCAUAGAAUGUGCAUAUCUAUAGUGCAGUGACUAUGUCAGUUGCAAAAUCAUUUUAUCUGUGAGAUUAUGCAAUUACAUGAAUCCAGGAGAACAAACAUGUUUAAAAUCACUGUAAAUUAGGAUGCGUAUCCUGACAAGGACAAACGGAGCAGCUGGAAACUCAUCCUAGAAUGAGAUUUUAAUCACGGAGUUUUCAUUUAGGGAAGUAUGUAGAAACGCCACAGGGCAAAGAGUUUAUUCUUGCCACAGGCACCAAAACACACAUCUACCCACCCAUCCCUUGAGUGCAUGUUAAUUGUGAGCUCUAAAUGACUUGCCUUAGCAGAUAACUUUGCUAACUGCAAACUCAGCACUAUGGUCUGGUUCAUAAAAUAGACUAGAAUGAUUCUUCCUCCAAGUGUUAUCGACUUGCUUGAUCUGAAGUAUUACGUUUUUGUGGCACGUAACCAUUGAAAGCACAUGUUAGACUUGGUUUUUUGUACACUCACAACUGAGACUUUAAAUUUGGCUGUAUUAACUCUGGAAAACUCUACAUUUUGGGAAAAUUGGUACUCUAUAUGUGGAAGUGUGUGUGUGUGUGUGUGUGUGUGUGUGUGUGUGUGUGUGUAUUGAAUGAAACUUAGUAUGGGGGAAAAGGAAGUAUGGGGAGAAAUAAGUUACAUAAAAUUAACAGAUACUAAUUCAUUAUUCUUCUCCUUCCUAAAAUGACCACUGCACACAUAGUCUCUUCAUUUUUCUUUCAAUGGUUUUGAAAGAGCCUUUCAGAAGCACUGAAUUACAAAGAGAUGAAUUCCAAUUAGACCUAACACUCUUAUUUUCCAAAUUAACAGAGAUGUCAACAGCUAUGUAUCAUGUAUCUACCUGUGGAAGUUUGAUUAGGAAUCAUCACCCAGUUGCUUCCCAGAUACAUUCUUAAUAUUGUGGCAAUUUUCAUCCUGAGUCUGGGUUGGACCUUAACUUACUAGAAGACAAAAGAAACAUGUUAAUGUAUAUAUAGGAAUUUCUAGUUCUGAAACUCAAGUUACUCAAACACAUAGAGAGGAUCCACUAUACAAAGAAGAACCUUCUAGAAGCAUCUAUUCAUAUUAUAGUUUUGUGUCCUAUGCCUUGGAUGCAUAUUUCCAACGGUAUAGUAACUUAAUCUCUAUGCCACUGGUGGCUGUUUACAUUUGGGUCAGUAGUGCACAUGAUUGUUCCACCGCUAGGAAGUAAAUCCAGACCAGGAGACUUCGGUAUGUAGUGCAAUGAUGAAUCCCAGCAAAUGAGAACAGAGCAAUUCAUGAUGGGCUAAUGAAAAACAAAAUAGAACAUUGAAGAACAGUGUGUGUGUGUGUGUGUGUGUGUGUGUGCGUGCCUGUGUGUGUGUAGUAAUCAACUUGAGAGAGCGUAGGGAGCACACACUGAAAGUAUGGGAAGGGAUAUUGUAGUGUGGAAAGGAUAUAAAUAUAAUACUAAUGCAUGAGAUUCUCAAGAAAAUUAAAACAGUACAGGUCUUCCAUUUUUAUGAAUGUGUAACAUUCUUCAAUAGGAAAUUGAAAAUUUACAUUUUUACGAAUUUGGUUAAGAGAAAUAUUUGGAACCUCAAGAUGUUGGCUAUUUUAGGUUUCUUAGAGAAUGAUGACCUGUAAUUCAAGGAGAACCAAUGAAGCAAUAUUAAUUAAGGUGUGUUGCUAUUAGCAUAUAACAUUUGUUGUGUAUGGAUUGUAGUUUUGUUGUUGUUGUUGUUGCUGCUGCUGUUGUUCUGUUUGCUUGCUGUUGUAGCUUCCUUGAAAUACUUUGUCUAUUGAAUUAAUAGAAAAGUUCAGAAAGGAAAUUAGAUAACUUUCCUUUUUUUAGAUCCAAUAACAAACAAACAGAGAGCACUAACAUGAAUUGGACAACUGUUAGAAGGCAGAGAGCAAGCAUGAAAGUCUGUGGGUGCUAAGGUUGCUACAAGGGGAUUCUGUUCCUAUGGAAAUAAUUGUGGGUUUAGGAGAACAGUUUCAUGCCCAGAUACAUUAAUCCUUGAUGGAAACCAGCAACAUAGUAGAAGUCUCAGUCACAGCCCACACUGUUUAAUUAUAUUUGGUUGCUUUAUGUCAGAAGUCCCAGGCUCUAGUGAUAUUGACAGAUUUGGAGAUUUGUUUUAGGACAUCAUUCUCAAAACUUUCUUGAGCCCACAACACAUUAGAAAAAUACCUUUGCAACAGAAAUCUAGGUCUUUUCAAUUAAUUAAUUGUUACUCCUACUGUUCUACAUUCCAUAACUCCUCCUGCCCUGCUUCCAUUCUUCACUGUUGUCUCCACAAGGAUGUCCCCACCCCACCCACACUACCAGACCUCUAAACUCCUUAGGGCUUUCAGUUUUUUGAGAGUUAGGUGCAUAUUUUCUGACUGAACCCAGACCCAGUAGUCCUCUUCUGAAUAUGUGUUGGGGUCCUCAUAUCAGCUGGUGUAUGCUGCUUGGUUGGUGGGCCAGAAUCUGAGAUCUUGGGGUCCAGGUUAAUUGUGACUGCUGGUCCUCUUACAGGGUCAUCCUUCUCCUCAGCUUCCUCCAGCUUUUCCCUAAUUCAACCACAUGGGUCAAUAGCUUCUGUUCAUUGGUUGGGUGUAAAUAUCUGCAUCUCAUUAUUUCAGCUACUUGUUGGAAUAUCUGCACAUAGAAGAAUGCAACUAGAUUAGUAUUUACUACCCUGCACAAAACUCCAGUCCAAAUGUAUCAACAUAAAACGGAAAAACACACUGAACCUGACAGAAGAAAGAGUGGGGAGUGCCUUGAACGCAUUUGCACUGGAGACAACUUUCUGAACAGAAUAAUGAUAGCACAGGCUAUUUAAUUAAUGGGACCCCAAGAAAUUGAAAAGCUUCUGGCAAAGCCAACAGGGCAAAAUGAUAGCCCCCAGAAUCAGAAAAGAUUAUUAACAACUCCACACCAGAUAGAGGUCUAAUAUCCAAAAUAUAUUUUAAAAAACUCAAGAAGAUGGAUAUUAAAUAAACAAAAAUUCCAAUUAAAAAUUAGGGUACAGAUCUAAACAGAAUUCCAAUAGAGUAAACCAAAAUGCCUGAGAAACACCUAAAGAAAUAUUUGAUAUCCUUCAGGAAAAAGAAGUUGUAUCUCUCCCCUACUGUCUUCUUACUUUUGAGAAUGCUAUCACAUCGCAUGUUGUCAGACUGCUGAUAUACAAAAAGGCAUAAAUUCCUCACAGCAUCUUUAUGUCUUAAACAGGUUGAGUGCUUUGAAGUACUAGCAUUUUUAGUUGUUAAAAUGUUUAUAUUUUUAUUUUUCUGUGGAAGUUAUUAAUUUAAAUUUCUUCUAUUCUUUUUUUUUUCUAUUCUUUUUUUCGGAGCUGGGGAUCGAACCCAGGGCCUUGUGCUUGCUAGGCAAGCGCUCUACCACUGAGCCAAAUGCGAGGGUUGAAAAGGACUUGAUUGAGAGGUGUAUAGUGACCAGGCAGUGAUGGUGUGCGCCUUUAUUUCCAUCACUAGAAGGCAAAGAAAGAUACACCUCCGUGUUAGAGGCCAACUUGGUCUACACAGUGAGUUCUAGGACAGCCAAGACUCCACAGAGAAACCCUGACCCAAAAAGAGAAGAAUAAAAUGAAAAUGUAGUGUUGUUUUCUAUCAUUAAAAGCAAACAUUGUCAUUUCAAUUAUGAGUCUCAGUUCCCCCAGAACAUGUCCCAGUUCAUGGGGGAAAUUCACAGUCAAAUAGUGUAUAUAUCAUGUUAUAUCUAUGCAGAGGCAGUCAAAUAUUUAGAGCACAUACCCAGCAGUGUGCACUUGAGUUUCUUAUGUCUGGAGUAUCCAGUUCUACUUCAAGGAAGGACUGUGUAAAAUGAGAUUGCACUUGACACUUUCUGCCCUCAUCUGGUCUUCUAAAGUAUGGAAGAAGCAAGAGGAUCUAAGGUUUAAGAAGGAAUUAUGCUAUAACAUGCAGGCUGGUCCUACAGAUGUUGGUAAGAAUCAGGAAGCUGACUCUUAAGAUUUGUAAGUUCUAUAAGCAAAACUUAGACAAAGAGCUCAUUUGGAAGCCAUCCCCCUCUUCCCCUAGAGAUCCUACAAGGUCCUAGAUCGCCUCUGUUCUUUUUGAGGAAAGCAGUGUCUAAACUGUGUCAGAGCUAUCUCAUGGGAUUCAGAACUGGCUGUGUGCUUUGUAAGCCAAGCAAAGGCAAUGUGAUCAAGCAAAAUAAUUUUAAUCAAUUAGCGAGUUGACAGAGAUGGGGAGACCAAAGUUGAAUCAAGUGAUAUAGUGAAAUGGCUGUGUAGCAUGUACAGUGUAUCUCUGGGCUACAUCACUGGUACCCAGUAAACCUGGAGUCGUGGCACAUUGAUAAAAUCACAGUAUUUGGGAGGUCCAGGAGGAUCAGAAGUUCAAGGCUAUUCUUGGUUACAUAAGGCCUUCAAGGACAAUGUGGAUGUCUGUGAAUGUAUGUAUGAAUGAAGGAAGGAAUCAGUGUGUCAUUAAGUUCUCAGUAAAUUAUGUACUCUCUGAAACAAAUAUGUCUCCGAGAAAGGGGAGUGAAGAUUCACAAGACAGACAUUUGCUUCCAGUUGUUAGUAUGGUGAAAUCAUUUUAUAUGGUUCUUUUAUUGUCAUAUUUUAAAUUUUACAUUGCUUUAUUCGAACCUUUUCUUCACUAAUUCAUUGUGGUUAGAUCAAUGAAUAACUAAGAAAUCUUAGAAUUUUGAAUUUUCUGAAAACUAGGAAUUAUGUUUUGCCCAAGUAAGCACAUAAACAUGAGAGAAAGAAAUAAAGCGAAUUUUAAACAAACUUUCCUUUUUAUUAAAUCAGAAACUCUUUUUCCUUUAAAGCUCAGUUGCUAUGUUUGGCAAUUAACAUAAUGCAGACUACCUGACAAAACCAUUAUUCAGUCUGCCUGAAUUAACCAAUACACAGCAUGUCUGACAUAAUCUAUAUACAAAAUGCCUGAAGUAACCAUUAUCUUGCCUGACUGAAAUAACAUUCUUUCAUUGUUGUUACAGAACCUAUUAUUAUAGGAUUUUUCUAUUUAAAUCAUUAUAAAUAAUGAGCAAAGUGGGAAACUGUACUUUUGCUGCCAUUUAAUGAAUCCAAUUUAAAGUACUGCCACACUCUAUAGGGAUGUAAAGAUUAAGAUCAAAUUUUCUAGCCAAGUAGAUACUGUCAAGAGGUACUGGUCAGGGAGACUUGUCUGAGGGUUUGCUUUGUAAAGAGAAAAGAAUAAAGGCCUGUCCUACUUUG
Molecule: non-coding RNA, 37879 nt
Organism: Rattus norvegicus (Norway rat)
Lineage: Eukaryota; Metazoa; Chordata; Mammalia; Rodentia; Muridae
Source: RefSeq, a predicted model, not a curated record